Molecule: long non-coding RNA, 699 nt
Filed under: Sparus aurata (gilthead seabream)
Lineage: Eukaryota; Metazoa; Chordata; Actinopteri; Spariformes; Sparidae
Description: lncRNA (ENSSAUG00010023153.1)
Source: RNAcentral
AUGACUCGUCUCUUCUCCUCUCCUCUGGUCGGCAAACAGACGGCAACUGCCAGGAAAUGGCUGGUAGAGACGGGACAGAUAAGCGACGGUCCUCUCUCCUGUUGUGUUAAGCAGACUCCUCACCAGGACAGCUACUCCUACAGUGACUUCCCGGACACCUAUUGCGAGAGUUGUCUAACAGCAGCACGAGAGAUUGAGAAAGCCAUGAAGGAAGCCCCAGCUGACAGCAGACAGACAGUAGUCAAGAGCCUCCUCAGUGGUGGUGUGUGUGAGAAAAUGCUGUCCUACAAACAUGACCAUGUCUCAAAGGACAAAAUGACAUCUUCUUGCAUGCACUUGUUUGAAUCUAAUCAUGACCAGUUCAAUCUCGCUUUGGUAAAUAAAGAACCAAAGCAUCUGGAUAUAGUCCUGUGCUACGAGCAAUCCACAGCAUGUGUGGGGGUGAAGCGCCAGUCUUUUGAGGAUUCCAAGAAAAGCACCUUUACAGAAAGUGACAUUGAAGCUCUCCUUCGGGACAACAAGGAAAAUGUGCGCAUUGCUCGACCUACACACUCAGGCUCACCUGUGCACUCAGGAGGGGAGUUGUGAAAACAGCAGCGUCAUUUUGUUUGCUACUGAUUGUAUGGUGGCUUGUUGUCAUGAUACAGUGUGUUUGAUUGUCCGUAUAAUAAAGACAUCAUUGAAAGAUUUUUUUCUGGG